UCCGGUAUGGUGUAGUGGCUAACAUUUGACGCUCUCAUUGAUCCAGUGUCAUUCGAGGUUCCGUCAAGCCCAGGGUUCGAUUCCCUGUACCGGAG
This is a non-coding RNA of Emericellopsis atlantica, 95 nucleotides long. The record is from the annotation of a RefSeq genome assembly. NCBI's taxonomy places the organism in Eukaryota, Fungi, Ascomycota, Sordariomycetes, Hypocreales, Bionectriaceae.